GGAGAAUUGGCUGAGUGGCCGAAAGCGCUGGUCUUGAAAACCAGAGGACGUGAAAGCGUCCCGUGGGUUCGAAUCCCACAUUCUCCU
RNAcentral lists this transfer RNA (87 nucleotides) under Idiomarinaceae bacterium. RNAcentral describes it as "tRNA-Ser". It matches the Rfam family "tRNA". From Rfam's summary of the family: Transfer RNA (tRNA) molecules are approximately 80 nucleotides in length. Their secondary structure includes four short double-helical elements and three loops (D, anti-codon, and T loops). The record is from RNAcentral. Lineage: Bacteria; Pseudomonadati; Pseudomonadota; Gammaproteobacteria; Alteromonadales; Idiomarinaceae.